Long non-coding RNA from Gymnodraco acuticeps, 607 nucleotides. RefSeq lists it as uncharacterized. The transcript has 5 exons. The record is from RefSeq and is a predicted model, not a curated record. NCBI's taxonomy places the organism in Eukaryota, Metazoa, Chordata, Actinopteri, Perciformes, Bathydraconidae.
CUCAAAGAAGCUGAAAACAAGGCUGGGGAGGGAGGGCUUCAGAUGUGCAUAUUGUAAGGAACUCAGACUUCUUAUCUCAGAAGUUCCACCAUGCAGGAGAUCAGAUUUUAGCCGACAGGGGCUUCACUUUGAAGGAUGACUUUGCUGUUCUGGGUGCACAGCUCAUCACACCGUCUUUCACGAGGGGCCGAAAACAACUGUCAGCCGAAGAUGUUGCAAAUUCUCGUGUGACUUCGAACAUCAGAAUUCACAUUGAGAGUCAUUGGUGCCCUGAAGAGCCGGUACCACAUUCUGGAUGGCCCACUUCCUCUGCGCCUGGUGAAGAGACUGCAGGAUGAGAGACAGAAGAGAGAAGAGGCCAUGAUUGAUAGGAUUGUGCAUGUCUGUGCAGCACUAAUGAACCUGUCUGGCAGUCUCAUGUACAACCGUUACAGAAUCUGAGAGUCCCUGAACUGAUCUCAGUGCUGCUCUGCUGCUGCACACCCUGUCACCCUGCCUCUGAUGCCUGACACCCUGCCUCUGAUGCCUGACGCCCUGCCUCUGAUGCCUGUCGCCCUGCCUCUGAUGCCUGACGCCCUGCCUCUGAUGCCUGACGCCCUGCCUCUGA